GAUGAACGCUGGCGGCGUGCCUAAUACAUGCAAGUCGAGCGAACGGACGAGAAGCUUGCUUCUCUGAUGUUAGCGGCGGACGGGUGAGUAACACGUGGAUAACCUACCUAUAAGACUGGGAUAACUUCGGGAAACCGGAGCUAAUACCGGAUAAUAUUUUGAACCGCAUGGUUCAAAAGUGAAAGACGGUCUUGCUGUCACUUAUAGAUGGAUCCGCGCUGCAUUAGCUAGUUGGUAAGGUAACGGCUUACCAAGGCAACGAUGAAUAGCCGACCUGAGAGGGUGAUCGGCCACACUGGAACUGAGACACGGUCCAGACUCCUACAGGAGGCAGCAGUAGGGAAUCUUCCGCAAUGGGCGAAAGCCUGACGGAGCAACGCCGCGUGAGUGAUGAAGGUCUUCGGAUCGUAAAACUCUGUUAUUAGGGAAGAACAUAUGUGUAAGUAACUGUGCACAUCUUGACGGUACCUAAUCAGAAAGCCACGGCUAACUACGUG
This 497-nucleotide ribosomal RNA is filed under the name uncultured bacterium. RNAcentral describes it as "partial 16S ribosomal RNA". It matches the Rfam family "Bacterial small subunit ribosomal RNA", at positions 28 to 507 of the family's 1533-position model. The record is from RNAcentral.